Molecule: non-coding RNA, 8731 nt
Organism: Sturnus vulgaris (Common starling)
Lineage: Eukaryota; Metazoa; Chordata; Aves; Passeriformes; Sturnidae
Source: RefSeq, a predicted model, not a curated record
CCUCAGCCCUGACCUCAUGCGGGCGGUGACGGCUUUGUGCAGUGUCAGCCGGGGCGCGUUGACGUUUCGCUUUUGUUCGAGUCCUCUGACUCUUAAACCAGUCGGAAAAAGGCUCUUCACUCGCCCCUCCGUGUGAUUUCUGCGUUUGUCUAAAUUUCAGCUACUUUAAAACCAUCUCAGAAAGCUGAGGGCUCUGAUUCCUUCCCGCUGCUUUAGGGAAUGGAAGGACAGAGCUCCUCUGUGGGUCUGCAUCCUGGCAGCAGGUUGGAGCUUCAUGAGCUUUGUCUCUCCCUAACCCUUCAGCCUCCUCAUAGACACAUGUUUGCUCAUUCGUCUCACUGGGAACUGUAGUAAAACCUCUCUUAGAAGAAAGAUCGUGCCUCUUGUUGGUUUUAUAAUUAUUGCAUAUUGUUCUGACUGGUGCUUUGUCUAAGGCACCUUUCGGUAUUUCCUAUAUGUGAAAACAACCACAAAGAGCAAAUCUGGCAUUUUCCAUAAAGGCUACUAAGUGUAAUAACCGCAACUUUUGGGUUUGGCAGCUCUUUUCGAGUUAUAGCAAAUGGCCCCAGCUUUUCUGUAUAUGUUGUGGAGAGAGAAACAAAGGUUUCGAGGCGUGUGUUCAGAAUGGCCAGAUCUGGGGCCUGGGGACUGCUCACAGUGCCUGCAGCAGGACACCGAAGUGUUUGCUGGAGAUUCUAAGUAUCCACUGAGCCAUGUGGCUUCCUCUGGAAGUUACCCGGCUCCAGGAGGAAAUGUGUCACAGUAACACUGUGACCGGACUCUCCUGUGAGAAGAUCACGCAUAAGGGGCUACACGCAUACCUGACCUUCAGCAGAGAAAUUACGUCUCUUAGUAUUUUAAACCCGAGGAAGGGUCUUCUGUUAGGCGUUGGAUUUGGGCUGGAAAUCUCCCAGCAGCGCUCUCCAGUCAUUCUCUCUGGAAGGCCUGUCCCUCUGUUGGACUUGGAGGAAGGAGUUGUUCACAACAGACUUCCAGGAUUCCAUAUUUGGGAGUUGCUGUUUAACCAUGUUUGCCAGUCUGGAAUUACCUGAAGUCCUGUUGCACACCCCAAAAUACUGAAGUUGUGAAAUUUGUUUUGAUCAACUGGAGUACUUCUCAAGUCACGUGCAGUGUGAUUCUGCCAGGAACCCCCUCCUGUUUGUCCUCGUGGAGGAACAGCUUGGACAUUGCCAUGGCCACCAUUGUCAGCCUCACACAGUUGGUCUCACAAAGCCCAGCACUGGCUCACCAGCAUCACCUAGACGUCUGACAGGCUCUCAUUGUUGGAAACAAUGGUUUUGGAUGAUCUACCUAACUUAAAAGACACAUAUGCCUCCUUGUACUUCUCAGCUAUGGAAGACUUAGAGGUGGAUUUUGAUUCAGGACUGGAGGAAGAUGAACUGAAACAGGAGGCUGCUCCUGGGGAUUCCACUAUCUUUGUAGCUUUUAAAGGAAAUAUAAGUGACAGAGACUUUGAGCAGAAGCUGGAUACCAUACUGGAGAAUGUGCCUAGUCUUUUACACAUGGAAUCCAACAAGCUGAAAGUGCAGAAGAUAGAGCCUUGGAACAGCGUUCGUGUCACCUUCAACAUCCCCCGGGAAGCGGCCGAGCGGCUGCGAAUCCUGGCUCAGAACAACAACCAGCAGCUCCGAGACCUGGGCAUUCUCUCCGUUCAGAUUGAAGGGGAAGGUGCUAUCAACUUGGCUUUAGCCCAGAGCAGGAGCCAGGAUGUGCGGAUCAACGGGCCCCUGGGAGCCAGCACCGCCAUGCGCAUGGAUCCGGGAUUCCCCAUGCAGGGGGGACAAGGUAACUCCCCUCGGGGAUUCCCCAUGCAGGGGGGACAAGGUUUAAUAAGAAUGAGCAAUGCUGCAGCUGUUAUGAUGUCCCAGGGUGGAAAUGUGCCCUCCUCUAUGGUGGCAAGUGGUGCUAGUGCUGAGCUGCAGCCACGAACACCUCGGCCUUCCUCACAGCCAGAUGCAAUGGACCCACUCUUAUCUGGGCUAAAUAUACAGCAACAAAAUCAUCCAUCUGGAUCUUUAGCUCCCCAGCUGCAUUCAAUGCAGUCAGUUCCUGUAAACAGGCAGAUGAACUCAGCCAACUUUCAGCAGCUACAGCAGCAGCAGCAGUUGCAGAAUCGGCCUCCCCAGCCACAUCAGCAGCCACAGCAGGGUAUCCGACCUUCAUUCACUUCACCAGCACAGGUUCCAGUUCCCCCUGGCUGGAACCAGCUUCCUUCUGGAGCACUUCAGCCUCCUCCAACCCAGGGAGCACUGGGUACUUUGACAGUAAACCAGGGUUGGAAAAAGGCCCCGUUGCCUGGACAAAUGCAGCAGCAGCUUCAAGCAAGACCAUCUCUAGCAACAGUACAAACUCCUACUCAUCCUCCACCUCCAUAUCCUUUUGGAAGCCAGCAAGCUUCCCAGGCUCACUCAAACUUUCCCCAGAUGAGCAAUCCUGGCCAGUUUACUGCUCCUCAAAUGAAAAGCCUUCAGGGAGGGCCCUCACGGGUUCCUACACCACUACAACAGCCCCACCUGACCAACAAGUCUCCUGCUUCUUCUCCCUCCUCCUUCCAGCAGGGCUCUCCUGCCUCAUCUCCAACCGUUAACCAGACGCAGCAGCAGCUGGGACCAAGGCCUCCCCAGAGUAGCACUCUUCCCCAGGGAUUCCAGCAGCCUGUCAGUUCUCCUAGUCGUAAUCCUAUGGUGCAACAGGGGAAUUUACCCCCCAACUUCAUGGUGAUGCAGCAGCAAAACCAAGGUCCACAAGGUUUACACCCUGGUUUAGGAGGAAUGCCCAAGCGGCUCCCCCCGGGGUUCCCUGCAGGCCAGGCUAACCAGAACUUCCUGCAAGGUCAGGUGCCCUCCACAGCUCCAGGAACAGCAGGCACCAGUGGAGCACCACAGCUGCAAAACAGCCAGAACGUGCAGCACACAGGUGGCCAAGGAUCUGGACCUCCACAAACUCAGCUGCAAGCAGCACAUGGCCCACCAAAUAUGAUGCAGACCAAUCUAAUGGGACUUCAUGGAAACAUGAACAACCAGCAGGCUGGUGCUAGUGGGGUGCCACAGGUUAACAUGGGCAACAUGCAGGGACAACCUCAGCAAGGACCACAGUCCCAGCUUAUGGGGAUGCAUCAGCAAAUCGUGUCCUCUCAAGGACAGAUGGUGAACAUUCAGGCUCAGGGAUCGCUGAACCCUCAAAACCAGAUGAUCCUUUCUCGAACUCAGCUCAUGCCUCAAGGCCAAAUGAUGGUGACACCUCAGAACCAAAAUCUUGGUCCCUCUCCCCAGAGGAUGACCCCACCCAAACAGAUGAUUCCCCAGCAGGGACAGCAGAUGAUGUCCACACACAAUCAGAUGAUGGGACCUCAGGGCCAGGUCAUGCUACAGCAAAACUCAAUGAUGGAACAGAUGAUGACCACUCAGAUGCAAGGAAAUAAACAGCCUUUUAAUACUCAAAACCAGUCCAAUGUUAUGACGGGGCCAGCUCAACUGAUGAGAGGACCAACCCCAAACAUGCAAGGAAACAUGGUGCAGUUCACUGGGCAGAUGAUGGCACAGCAAGGCCCUGUGAAUGGGAAUCCUUCUCAGGUGAUGGGAAUUCAAGGGCAAGUUUUAAGACCCACUGGACCUGGUCCUCACAUCUCUCAGCAACUUGGGGAUACUGCGACCACAACAAACAACGAUGGGAACUUGACACAAAUGUUACCUGAGGUUCCUGUGCAGCAGCCAAACAUGGUGCCUUCUCAUAUGCAAGGAAUGCAAGGAAAUAACAAUGCUUCAGGGAGUCAUUUCUCUGGCCAUGGGCUGCCUUUCAAUACAGGGUUUAGUGGAACUCCCAAUGGGAAUCAGGUUUCCUGUGGGCAGAACCCUGUGUUUCCUGUCAAUAAAGAUGUGACGCUGACAAGUCCCCUCUUGGUUAACCUACUCCAGAGUGAUAUCUCAGCAGGGCACUUUGGUGUGAACAACAAACAGAAUAACCAGAAUGCCAACAAGCCAAAGAAGAAGAAGCCUCCAAGGAAGAAGAAAAAUAAUCAACAGCUAGAACAAACAACUUCUUCAGAAUCACGUCCAGCUGGCCUGGAGGAGAGUGAUCAGUCAUCGAUGUCUGGAGACCAAGGAAUGAAUUUAGAUAAGUCAGGCCCUAAACUCUCAGAUUUUGCAAGUAGACCACCAGGUUAUCCAUCUCAGCCGGUGGAGCAAAGGCCACUUCAGCAGAUGCCACCUCAGCUCAUGCCACACACGCAGCAGCCCCAGCCACAGCAGCAGCAGCAGCCCCAGGCAGCCCCACAGCAGGGCCAGGCACCCCCCCAGACACCACAGCAGCAGCAGAUGAUGAUGAUGCUGAUGAUGCAGCAGGAUCCCAAAUCAGUCAGGCUGCCUGUGCCCCAGGGGGUUCACCCCCCCAGGGGGCCCCUGAACCCGGAUGCUCAGCGGAUGCCAAUGCAGCAGAGUGGAAACAUGCCAGUGAUGGUGAACCUCCAGGGGCCUGGGCCCGUACCUCCAUCUCCUGACAAACAGAGGGUGGCCCUGCCAGGCAAUCCUCCUCUGGGAAAUAAUGCAAGAAAAAUGGUUUAUCCAGAUAAUGUACAGAAUCCUUCCAGCUCGCCCCUCAGAGAGGUGUCAUCAGUAUCCUCUCUUCCAGAAGGAGGUGGAGCUGAGGGGCCUCCAGCAUCAGGAGCUCAGAAUAGUGUGACAUCUCAUUUGGUAGUUUCACAGAACCAGUUAAUGAUGACAGGACCUAAGCCUGGACCAUCCCCACUUUCAGCUGCCCAAGGUGCAAGUCCCCAGCAGCAGUCUAGUUCUCUCUCUAGUGCUCUUACACACCAUUUUCCAAAUGUUGCUGCCCCAUCACAAACUUCAAGGCCUAAAACCCCAAACAGAGCUAGCCCAAGGCCAUAUUAUCCUCAGACUCCUAAUAACCGUCCACCCAGCACAGAACCCUCAGAAAUUAGCCUUUCUCCAGAGAGGCUCAAUGCUUCUAUUGCUGGUCUGUUCCCUCCCCAGAUCAAUAUUCCUUUACCUCCCAGGCCUAAUCUCAAUAGAGGAUUUGAUCAGCAGGGUCUGAAUCCCACUACUUUAAAGGCCAUUGGACAAGCCCCAUCAAAUCUCACAAUUAACAAUCAGUCCAGUUUUACUGCCUCACAGUCACACAAGCUGGAAGGUGUGGUCAUUAAUUCAGGCAAACAAACCAAUGCUGGUGGAACAAAGAGAGCAAGCCCAAGCAAUAGUCGAAGGUCCAGUCCUGGAUCCAGUAGGAAAACUACACCAAGCCCUGGCAGACAGAAUUCAAAAGCAGCUAAAUUAUCACUGACAACUCAGCAGAAUCCAUCUCUCUUGCAGAACAUGGAAUUACAGAGAAAUAUGAUGGCUGGUCCUUCUUCUUUGCCGACACCCGUGACCACAAGUUUUCAAACUAACUCCAUGCUAAGUAACCAGAGUCCUGCAGUUUCUGCACCUACUGUGACUGGCAUUCCUGAAGAUAGUAAGGAGAGCCUUAGUGCGCCUCAGGAUACAGAGAGUCAAAGUGCACAAGGUGUCCAAGGUAGCAAGGACCAGCCCAAUAUGGAACUGAAAGGUGUCCCUACUUCAGAAAUGAAAGUGCUGGUUCCUGAGGAACAGGCAAAAAAAGAUGGGCAAGCCUUAGAUAGCAGUAAGCUCCCGGUCAUGGAGGAAAGUAAAGCCGUGGUAUCUCCAGCUAUGAGGGAGGCACCAACUUCUCUAAGUCAGCUUCUUGACAAUUCUGGAGCUCCUAAUGUGACCAUUAAGCCCCCUGGUCUGACUGGUCUUGAAAUGGCACCAGUAGUCCCUGCUGGAGAGGAGCUAAAGAAGAUAGCUGUCAUUCCUCCACUGCAGGAUUCAUCCUUGAGCAAGGAGCCAUCUAAUUCACUUAGCCUGCCUCAAAAUAAUGAGCCCUGUCCAAAUCCAGGGCACCAGGAGCUGGGAGAAGUAAAUGCAAGUGUGGCACAGAGUGUUGCUCCAGUAGUGCAGAGGCCUGUUAGCUCUUCUAUUUCAGGUCCUUUACCCCCCAACCAGAUAACAGUUUUUGUGACUUCCAACCCUAUUACAUCUGCUGCUAAUACAUCAGCUCCACUGCCAUCCCACUUGCAAUCUGCAUUAGUGUCCACUGUUGUCACCAUGCCCAAUGUGGGGAGCAAAGUGAUGGUUUCAGAGGGACAGUCGGCAGCUCAGUCCAACGCCCGGCCGCAGUUCAUCACACCAGUGUUUAUAAACUCAUCCUCAAUCAUCCAGGUGAUGAAGGGCUCUCAGUCCAGCACGAUUCCAGCAGCCCCCAUAACUUCUAACUCGAGCCUGAUGCCUCAGUCGGUUGCAGUUGUUGGUCCUUUGCAUAUCCCACAGAAUAUCAAGUUUUCCUCUGGGCCCACUCCUCCCAGCACCUCAUCCACCAGUCCUGUGUCCAGUAUUCCCACCAGCAGAUCGCUCGUUCUGAAUCCCUUGGCAUCUCCUGUCCAACUGCCUUCUUCCACUCCAGCUCCUUCCAGUGUUCCUUCCCAGCUUCCUGCUCAGCAAGCCAAGGACUUCAGCCCGGAGGAGACUCCCCAAGGCACAGGGCCGGCUGAGCAGUGCCCUGUGCCAGCAGCCCAGUCGGGACCUGUUGUUUCCCCUCUGCUUACAAGCAGCCCGGGAUCUGGGAACAGACGCAGUCCUGUUUCAUCCAGCAAGGGAAAGGGAAAGGUAGACAAGAUUGGCCAGCUCUUGCUGACUAAAGCGUGCAAGAAGGUCACUGGCUCCCUGGAGAAAGGGGAAGAGCAGUACGCUUUGGAUGGAGAAACAGAAGGUCAGGGACUAGAAACGUCGGUCCCAAACAGUUUGGGAACAGAGCAACCACCAGCAGAACUCGAUAACAAAAGCGGGACGCCUCCAGCACCCAGUCUUACAAAACAGAGCACGUCUGGGCCCGGUAGCUCGAGCCUCAGCCCCGCGGCGGCCGCUCCCUCCUGCGCGUCCCCGAGCGCGGCCCCGGCCGCAGCCGCCCCGGCCGGAGCGCCCCCGGCAGCCCCGGAGCCCUCGGGCCCCGGCGCCAGCGGCACCAACCCAGGCCCGGAGGGGCGCCCGGAGCCGAGCGGCAGCGCCGGGCCCGACGAGAAACCCGCAGCACCCCCGGAGCUGCUGCAGAGCGCAGCAUCCUCUCAACAUUUAACACAGAAAAAAAGUUCAGUUGCAACAUCAGAAAGUACUGUUCAAAGAACAGAACUUGAGACAAAUGCUGCAGUAGUUGCUGGUCAAAGUAAUGAGACAAAAGAGAAUUGUGAAAAGUCUAAAACUCCAAGUAGAAGAAAUUCAAGAACAGAGGAUUCUGCCGCUUCACAGGAAACUGUAGAGAACGGGCAGCGCAAGAGAUCCUCGCGACCCGCAUCCACGUCCAGCACAGCUAAAGGUAACAUGUCCAGCCACCCUUCCUGGGGAGAGGGCAGCUCCUAACCUGCUUCCCUGGGUGUUUGCCCUGGCAGUAACUGCCUCGUAAUGCUGGUUUGCAGCUUGUGCACCUUGGGUGCUUUAUCUCUAGUUUCAAGGAUUUAGCCACAGGUUGGUGUUGAAGCGUUUCUCGACGUCUGCACUGGCAGUAAAUCCUGUAUGAAUUCCUCUUUGGUACAUCUGUGGAACUUGUUUUCUGCAGCACUCACCACUGUAGUGCUCAGCACCUUGCCUAGUUGAAUUCUCUUGGCAGAAAUGUGUUGCUGUUGGAAGGACCAUACUCAGAUCAAAAAGUGACAUUUUCCUUUUCCUGAAGCCCGAAAGACACAAGACUUAAAUCUUCCCAAGUGCACGGUCAGCUCUUGCCAAGUCAAAUGCCAAAUGCCAUGGUUCAGGCACGCUCCAGAGGCUGCUGAGGUGGCAGCCAGGAGCCUCAGGGAGUGCUGUGUGCUAGCACAGAGCCUCAGCUCUGCUUCUCAACAACAUCUGAACUCCUGAAGUUAUUAACCCAUGGCAUUAGCAGGUGCUGAUGUACCUUACUCCUGCCCAGGUUACAGUCUUUAACAAUUAUGCAGCAUUUGUGUGAUAUGCAUGGCCCAGUGCCAGGCUGAAGCUAAUUCUGUCAGCUUCUUGUGUUUAAGGGUCAGAAAAAUGCUGAUGGACCAAAGUUAUGCAAGAGAGUAGAGAGAUCGUCAAGAGGCUACAUUCAACUACUAUUUUAAAGAUAAUAUACAGAACAAAGAGGUAUUAAUAUAAAAUGAUUAUAAAAGGAAGUCAAGUUGAAUUCAGCUACCAUUUCCAUACUGGAGGUACUAAAGUGUGAUGGUAAGAAUAUUGUGUUUUCAGAGUUUCAGAGAAGCAUUCCAGCUUUCAUUCCAUUGUGCAAUGACUCCCAAAGAUUACACAGGGGACCUAUAUAUUCUGCAGUUUUGUGACUGCUGAAUUUAAUUACAUUUACUUCUUGUGGCAGGACUGUGCAGAGUCUGUAUUGUAAAAAUAAAUUCUUUCAUGAUUGUGAAAAAAAGUUUGAAAAAUGUGAAGCCAGUGUAAAAUCCCUGCCUGUGUUUGAGGGGAUCUGGAGCAUGUGACCUGCCCCACAGGCUGUACUGGGUAAACCUAAAGAUGACAACCAGUGACAACCAGUCAAAUUCUGAAAAUGUGGGAACGGGAAAGUGCAUCAAAUUUAAAUAAUACCAAAACUCUUACAUGAGUUUGUGCUGACUGUGGAAUUAAUUUGCCUCUGUAAAUAAACCCCUUGUUUUUAAAUAAUACAGUUGAAGCCGCCGCCGUGU